AAGUCGAGCGGCAGCACGGGAAGCUUGCUUCCUGGUGGCGAGCGGCGGACGGGUGAGUAAUGCAUAGAAAUCUGCCCGGUAGUGGGGGAUAACCUGGGGAAACCCAGGCUAAUACCGCAUACGUCCUACGGGAGAAAGCAGGGGAUCUUCGGACCUUGCGCUAUCGGAUGAGUCUAUGUCGGAUUAGCUUGUUGGUGAGGUAAUGGCUCACCAAGGCGACGAUCCGUAGCUGGUCUGAGAGGAUGAUCAGCCACAUCGGGACUGAGACACGGCCCGAACUCCUACGGGAGGCAGCAGUGGGGAAUAUUGGACAAUGGGCGAAAGCCUGAUCCAGCCAUGCCGCGUGUGUGAAGAAGGCCUUCGGGUUGUAAAGCACUUUCAGUGGGGAAGAAAGCCUUGGGGCUAAUACCCUCGAGGAAGGACAUCACCCACAGAAGAAGCACCGGCUAACUCCGUGCCAGCAGCCGCGGUAAUACGGAGGGUGCGAGCGUUAAUCGGAAUUACUGGGCGUAAAGCGCGCGUAGGCGGUCUGAUAAGCCGGUUGUGAAAGCCCCGGGCUCAACCUGGGAACGGCAUCCGGAACUGUCAGGCUAGAGUGCAGGAGAGGAAGGUAGAAUUCCCGGUGUAGCGGUGAAAUGCGUAGAGAUCGGGAGGAAUACCAGUGGCGAAGGCGGCCUUCUGGACUGACACUGACGCUGAGGUGCGAAAGCGUGGGUAGCAAACAGGAUUAGAUACCCUGGUAGUCCACGCCGUAAACGAUGUCGACUAGCCGUUGGGGGUCCUUGAGACCUUUUGUGGCGCAGUUAACGCGAUAAGUCGACCGCCUGGGGAGUACGGGCCGCAAGGUUAAAAACUCAAAUGAAUUGACGGGGGCCCGCACAAGCGGUGGAGCAUGUGGUUUAAUUCGAUGCAACGCGAAGAACCUUACCUACCCUUGACAUCGUGCGAACUUUCCAGAAAUGGAUUGGUGCCUUCGGGAACGCACAGACAGGUGCUGCAUGGCUGUCGUCAGCUCGUGUUGUGAAAUGUUGGGUUAAGUCCCGUAACGAGCGCAACCCUUGUCCUUAUUUGCCAGCGAGUAAUGUCGGGAACUCUAAGGAGACUGCCGGUGACAAACCGGAGGAAGGUGGGGACGACGUCAAGUCAUCAUGGCCCUUACGGGUAGGGCUACACACGUGCUACAAUGGCCGGUACAAAGGGUUGCGAAGCCGCGAGGUGGAGCUAAUCCCGAAAAGCUGGUCUCAGUCCGGAUCGGAGUCUGCAACUCGACUCCGUGAAGUCGGAAUCGCUAGUAAUCGUGAAUCAGAAUGUCACGGUGAAUACGUUCCCGGGCCUUGUACACACCGCCCGUCACACCAUGGGAGUGGACUGCACCAGAAGUGGUUAGCCUAACUUCGGAGGGCGAUCACCACGGUGUGGUUCAUGACUGGGGUGAAG
RNAcentral lists this ribosomal RNA (1437 nucleotides) under Halomonas sp. 10112. RNAcentral describes it as "bacterial SSU rRNA". It matches the Rfam family "Bacterial small subunit ribosomal RNA". The record is from RNAcentral. Lineage: Bacteria; Pseudomonadati; Pseudomonadota; Gammaproteobacteria; Oceanospirillales; Halomonadaceae.